CCCCUAGAUGUUCUGGGCCGCACGCGCGCUACACUGAACAGUUCAACAAGUCUUAACCUUGGCCGAUAGGUCUGGGUAAUCUUUGAACGCUGUUCGUGAUUGGGAUAGACCUUUGCAAUUAUGGGUCUUCAACGAGGAAUUCCUAGUAAACGCAAGUCAUCAGCUUGCAUUGAUUACGUCCCUGCCCUUUGUACACACCGCCCGUCGCACCUACCGAUUGAAUGGUCCGGUGAAAUCUCGGGACGGCGGCUUGGUCGCUUGCGUCCGACUGCCGAAACUUGAUUAAACCAUAUCAUUUAGAGGAAGGUGAANUCGUANCA
Molecule: ribosomal RNA, 320 nt
Filed under: uncultured eukaryote
Lineage: Eukaryota
Description: partial 18S ribosomal RNA
Rfam family: Eukaryotic small subunit ribosomal RNA
Source: RNAcentral